UCGGGGAUCGUCUAAUGGUAGGACGCCAGGUUCUGGCUCUGGCAAUCUAGGUUCGAUUCCUAGUCCCCGAA
This 71-nucleotide transfer RNA is filed under the name Candidatus Falkowiibacteriota bacterium. Its description in RNAcentral is "tRNA-Gln". It matches the Rfam family "tRNA". From Rfam's summary of the family: Transfer RNA (tRNA) molecules are approximately 80 nucleotides in length. Their secondary structure includes four short double-helical elements and three loops (D, anti-codon, and T loops). The record is from RNAcentral. Lineage: Bacteria; Candidatus Falkowiibacteriota.